Molecule: ribosomal RNA, 478 nt
Filed under: uncultured bacterium
Lineage: Bacteria
Description: partial 16S ribosomal RNA
Rfam family: Bacterial small subunit ribosomal RNA
Source: RNAcentral
GACGAACGCUGGCGGCGUGCUUAACACAUGCAAGUCGAACGUGAUUUUUGUGGAAAUUCUUUCGGGUAUGGUAAUGAAAUGAAAGUGGCGAACGGGUGAGUCACACGUGCGCAACCUACCUUACACAGGGGGCUAGCCGUUGGAAACGACGAUUAAUACCGUAUGAGACCACAGAAUCGCGUGAUAUAGGGGGCAAAGAUCUAUCGGUGUAUGAAGGGGUCGCGUCUGAUUAGCUGGUGGGAAGGGUAAAGGCCUACCAAGGCGACGAUCAGUAGCCGGUCUGGGAGGCGGAACGGCCACAAUGGAGCUAAGACACAGACCAAUCUGCUAGGGGAGGCAGCAGAAGGGAAUAUUGCACAAGGGGGGGAACCCUGGUGCAGCGACGCCGGGGGAGCGAAGAAGGGUGUCGAAACGUAAAGCUCUGACCUAUGAGGAGAUAGUGACGGUAUCAUAGGAAGAAGCCCCGGCUAAAUACGUG